UCUAAAAUAUCUUGGGUGCUAGUUGAACUGAACUCAACA
This 39-nucleotide small RNA is filed under the name Bombyx mori (domestic silkworm). Its description in RNAcentral is "ovarian small RNA-29389". The record is from RNAcentral. Lineage: Eukaryota; Metazoa; Arthropoda; Insecta; Lepidoptera; Bombycidae.